UUUCACCUCACACAACCAAUGGUUUUUAAAAGCUGUAAUGGCGCCAAGUGGUUAAUGUGGUAUUGAGUGUAUUCCCACUUGGUAAACGAGAGGGUCACUUGAAAUACUUGGUAGCUUUAUGAGUCCGAUAAUGCUUCGCAUAUUUCGAAAAGCUCAAAGUACCGCUAAGUUUAAGCCUUUACUGGUCACUCUUUAGCUGGGAAAUUUUUGAAAUGGAGUGGUUGUCACUGACUUUAUACCAAACUUGAUAUUGAAUAGCAGUCGUAGUUGCUGUAACUAUUCAAAAUCUUUGAAC
RNAcentral lists this unclassified non-coding RNA (295 nucleotides) under uncultured fungus. Its description in RNAcentral is "sequence contains ITS2". The record is from RNAcentral. Lineage: Eukaryota; Fungi. RNAcentral also lists the same sequence under 1 other name.